AUUCUUACUCUGUCCAUACCUAGUGAAAUGGAUGAGUUUGGCCUGAGUAUGAAUUGAAAGCCCCAGUCCUGUGAUGAGGUCUGCGUGGGGUCAGGGAUCCACCUGCCUGGAGCUUGUUGCAGGAUCGGGGUCUGAGCUCAGGAUUUGGCCAAUUUAUGUAGCAGUAUAUACACGGAAUAUGUUGGCUGCCCUUUAGUGAUAGUUCUAAAUAUAGUGCUGCUAAGUACAGGAAAUCACACUACUGAGAGGAGGGGAAUCUUCCCUGCCCUGGGGUAACAAAGCAAUCAUAACAUCCCCUUUGGGAAUACCAGGCCUAGGCCCCUGCUCUUGGGGAGUUGCCAGCAGGGCAGGCGUGUAUGAGAAAAAAAACCUCUGGAGGUAGUUAAUUAGGAAUGUAGUUAUCUAGUUGGGAGUGAUGGGGUUGCCUAGGUGUAAAUGAGGGCAGAAUUUUGUCUUCAUAUAUUGUGCUGUAGGUAGGAAUUGUAAUUCCCUCCAUUCAUGUUCGGUUUGUUUCUGUGGUAAAUUGAGACACUGGCAAUUGACCUUUACCACAUCAACUGUUGUUAGAGUCAGACCCUGGCCGAUUUGCUGAGUAUGAAAUGAAUAUAGCGUUGAAUGAAGCCAGCAGCUAAAUUUGUGUCUUCAGACUGAUAAACAUCUUAGGUAUUAGACUGUAGAAGUACUUGGUGACUGCCUCGUUGGGCUGCUGACCUGUGCUGAAGACUUCCCAUGGUCUGUAACGUUCCAUGUUAAUGUCUUGUAGCUUGUAGGGUAGAACAUUUAAUGGGCUUGAGAUAUUCAUUCGGCAGAUUAAACCAGCACAUUUGAAACUGGCUUGAAAUCAACAGUCAGUUCCACUUUGGGUUGGAGAAUAAGCUUAGGGGAAAGGGAAACCUGGUACUGGAAUUACUGAAUAAACAAGAGGGAGUUGUAGUGUAGUGAAUGUAAAUUUACCCCUUUGCUGCUGGGCUGAUUCCCUUAACCUCGACUUUAUGCGGCUAUUGUAAGAAUUUGUCCAACUUCCUCCAAAGGGGUAGUGGUUGCUAUGCACAGCUUGAGUUCGUGAUUGUGACUUUUCUAGUUAAUUCUCAUAGUUUGCUUUACAAAGUACAUAUUUGGCCUGUAUACGUGCAUGUUCUUCUUAUGGUUUCCUUUGUCCACCCUCCCCCAUGUCUUCCAAUUGUUAGUUACCGCCAUUGGUUGUUGCUUGUCUGGAUGAGAAUGUAUGGACAUCAAGGCAGGGCCUCGCUUUCACUCUGGGUUUGUGCAGCACCGCACACAAUGCUGUACAAACCCUGACCGGGCCCUCUAUGUGCGGCCAUGACACAUAUUAAGAAUAAUAAUGAACGCCAAAGUGGGAAAAAACUGGACGUUGUGCAUCUCUUAGCCGAAAGAAGGACAAUUAUAGUCAAGGUGUUUUAUUUAGCAAAUCCUCGUCAGCAGUUUUCACGGAGACUUGAAUGCUUUGACGCAAAGGCUGGGGACUACAUUUAUAAACUUAAAAAUCUGUCCCUUUAGGGAGAUCUUUUCCUCUGUUACUGGAAAUGGAGGAAAAAAAUAUUUGUGAAUUUCCUCUCUCAGGUCUGCGAAGACUUUGAGAUUAUCCAUCCAUCGGCGAGAUACAUAAUGGUCUUUGUAAUUCAUAUAAUUCUUUUUUAUUUCUAAACACCAUAAAGCAGAUGGGCCCUGAUGUAACAAGCUGCUGUCCUGAAAUCUGUAAUGUACAUAGAGAUGAUCUAACUGAAGUCCAUGGAUUCCCAUUGUCUUCAGUCAGCAUUGGCUCAGGCCCAUACCCUUCUGGGUUUGAAGGUAAAAUUGAAUCCUUUUUGUUUCUUGCCUUCCCCCAGUCCCAUCGCAAGUUUUCAGCUCCCAGGCAUGGCCACUUGGGCUUCCUCCCUCAUAAGAGAAGCCGGCGUCACCGAGGGAAGGUGAAGACCUGGCCCAACGAUGAUCCCAGCAAGCCAGUCCACCUGACAGCCUUUCUGGGCUACAAAGCUGGCAUGACGCACAUCCUACGAGAAGUUCACAGGCCAGGACUGAAGCUUUCCAAGAGGGAAGAGGUGGAAGCAGUCACAAUAGUGGAGACCCCGCCUCUGGUAGUGGUUGGGCUUGUGGGAUACAUAGACACCCCAAGGGGCCUGAGAAAUUUCAGGACCAUUUUUGCUGAGCACCUCAGCGAUGAGUGCAGACGCCGCUUCUACAAGAACUGGCACAAGAGUAAGAAGAAGGCCUUCACCAAGUAUUGCAAAAAAUGGCAGGACAAGGACGGGAAGAAACAGCUAGAGAAGGAUUUUGUGGCCAUGAAGAAGUACUGCAAGAUCAUUCGUGUCAUCGUCCACACUCAGAUGAAGCUGCUCCCGCUGCGUCAGAAGAAGGCCCAUGUGAUGGAGAUUCAGCUGAAUGGCGGGACAGUGGCCGACAAGGUGGACUGGGCUCACGAGAAGCUGGAGAAGCAGGUCUCUGUGCACACAGUCUUCAGCCAGAACGAAAUGAUCGACGUCAUCGGGGUGACCAAGGGGCGCGGGAUGAAAGGGGUAACCAGCCGCUGGCAUGCCAAGAAGCUCCCAAGGAAAACUCACAAAGGCUUACGCAAAGUGGCCUGCAUUGGAGCCUGGCAUCCAGCCCGGGUGGGCUACUCCAUUGCCCGGGCUGGCCAGAAGGGCUACCACCAUCGCACGGAGCUCAACAAGAAGAUUUACCGUAUUGGCCGUGGGGUCCACGUACAAGAUGGCAAAAUAGUGAAGAACAGCGCCGCGACGAACUACGAUGUCACCGAGAAGACGAUCACGCCACUGGGUGGAUUUCCUCACUAUGGUGCAGUCAACAAUGAUUUCAUCAUGCUGAAGGGCUGCGUCAUGGGCACGAAGAAACGGGUGCUCACGCUCAGAAAGUCCCUUCUAGUGCACAGCAGCCGUCGGGCUCUGGAACCCAUCGAACUGAAGUUCAUUGAUACCACUUCCAAGUUUGGCCAUGGCUGCUUCCAGACUUCUCAAGAGAAGAGAGCUUUCAUGGUAAGGAGGACUGGCUAUAAAAGCCCUUCACACCACUCUCGGGAUGGCUGGAGGUUAAUGCACAGGGCUGCAGCUUCGACACUGACCACUCCUGGAGAUUCUCCUUUUGCUCAUGUGCUAGGGGGCUGAGCUUAUGGAGCAGGAAGAUACGAGUUCUGUCCCUGCUGUCACCUCUGAGUGGCCAGGGUGGCAGCAUGGUGACAUUGAUUAAGUCCUAAGUGGCCACAGAAAUACUGCUCUAUUAAACCCAUUAUCUUGAAGCAGCUGAACUUCACCUGUCGAGGGCUGAGCAUCCAGAACCUUCCCCACAUUUUAAUUUAAUUCAGUAACAUUUAGCUGGGCAGAAGCAAAACAAUAGCCCCACAAAGCACGGACCACCAUUUUCUCCCUCUCUUGUAAACUAGAAGAGCUGGGACCCCAUCCUCAGCAGGUGUAAAUCUGUGUCGCUCCAUUGACUCAGCUGAGAAUCUAUCCCCUUGAUGGUAACCCAAACCAGAAACCCCUACUCCAAAAUUCUGCUCAGAAGGAGUUGUCAUAUGCAACCUCCUGAAACAGGAUUGUAUAGGAAAUUCUCCUGACACAACCUCAUCUGUCUGGUCACAGUCAUGAUGCUAUAAUGUAAUCAAUAUGAUUACUUUACCACUCAAUCUUCCCAAUCACCCCAGGCCAGCUUGCUGGGCUCAGUAGCAAACCAGUCAUUGAAGUUUUCCAUGCUGCCCAGCUAAGCAAACUGCCAGUCCAGGGACAGGCAAUUCAUUACCCCCAUUCCUCCAGGGUUAGGAGGGUUUCUAGAGACCACAGCUAGACAGCUGCUGCUGUUCAGGAGGAGAGCUGAGAGUUCGCAGCCAGGGAAUAGAAGUGAACAGCUAGUGUUGCAAGCCUUGUGCAGUGAAAAGUGGUCACAUCUGAAUAGAAAUUCCACAGCAUCCAGCUCACCUACUGCCUUUCUAGGGCCCCCAGAAGAAACAGCUGGUGAAGGAGAAGCCAGAAACCCAGGAAGAAUUGUAGGGGAUUGAAUUACACAUGGCCACUGUAACCUGGCACCUCCAAUAAAGGGACUUCAAACCAGG
This is an RNA transcript of Chelonia mydas (Green sea turtle), 4081 nucleotides long. It is a transcript of the gene named ribosomal protein L3 like, with no coding region annotated. The record is from RefSeq and is a predicted model, not a curated record. The transcript is spliced from 10 exons. NCBI's taxonomy places the organism in Eukaryota, Metazoa, Chordata, Testudines, Cheloniidae.